Molecule: ribosomal RNA, 253 nt
Filed under: uncultured bacterium
Lineage: Bacteria
Description: partial 16S ribosomal RNA
Rfam family: Bacterial small subunit ribosomal RNA
Source: RNAcentral
UACGUAGGGUGCAAGCGUUAAUCGGAAUUACUGGGCGUAAAGCGUGCGCAGGCGGUUGUGCAAGACAGAUGUGAAAUCCCCGGGCUCAACCUGGGAACUGCAUUUGUGACUGCACGGCUGGAGUGCGGCAGAGGGGGAUGGAAUUCCGCGUGUAGCAGUGAAAUGCGUAGAUAUGCGGAGGAACACCGAUGGCGAAGGCAAUCCCCUGGGCCGGCACUGACGCUCAUGCACGAAAGCGUGGGGAGCAAACAGG